GAAACAGUGGCUAAGACUGGAUAGGAAGAUAAAAGGCAUCUUGUAUCUUUUAAAAGACCUAGUUAAUAGGUAUGCUUUAGGAGGGGCUUGCGCCAUAUUAGUUAGUUGGUAGGGUAAUGGCCUACCAAGACGAUGAUGUGUAGCUGGACUGAGAGGUUGAACAGCCACAUUGGGACUGAGACACGGCCCAAACUCCUACGGGAGGCAGCAGUAGGGAAUUUUCGGCAAUGGAGGAAACUCUGACCGAGCAACGCCGCGUGAAUGACGAAGUACUUCGGUAUGUAAAGUUCUUUUAUCGAGGAAGAAAAGCAAAUGGCGAACCAUUUGUUUGCCGGUACUUGAUGAAUAAGCCCCGGCUAAUUAUGUGCCAGCAGCCGCGGUAAGACAUAAGGGGCAAGUGUUAUCCGGAAUUAUUGGGCGUAAAGGGUGCGUAGGCGGUCUAGUAAGUCAGUGGUGUAAUGGCAACGCUUAACGUUGUCCGGCUAUUGAAACUGCUAAACUUGAGUUAGAUAGAGGCGAGUGGAAUUCCAUGUGUAGCGGUAAAAUGCGUAAAUAUAUGGAGGAACACCAGAGGCGUAGGCGGCUCGCUGGGUCUUAACUGACGCUGAGGCACGAAAGCGUGGGGAGCAAACAGGAUUAGAUACCCUGGUAGUCCACGCCGUAAACGAUGAGUACUAAGUGUCGGGUUAAACCGGUACUGAAGUUAACACAUUAAGUACUCCGCCUGAGUAGUACGUACGCAAGUAUGAAACUUAAAGGAAUUGACGGGACUCCGCACAAGCGGUGGAUCAUGUUGUUUAAUUCGAAGAUACCCGAAAAACCUUACCAGGUCUUGACAUGUUUUUGCAAAAUGAUAGUAAUAUCGUGGAGGUUACCAGAAACACAGGUGGUGCAUGGUUGUCGUCAGCUCGUGUCGUGAGAUGUUAGGUUAAGUCCUAAAACGAGCGAAACCCUUAUCGUUAGUUGCCAGCACGUUAUGGUGGGGACUUUAACGAGACUGCCAAUGAUAAAUUGGAGGAAGGUGAGGAUCACGUCAAAUCAGCAUGCCCCUUAUGACCUGGGCUACAAACGUGAUACAAUGGCUGUUACAAAGGGUAGCUGAAACGCAAGUUCUUGGCCAAUCCCCAAAAACAGUCCCAGUCCGGAUUGAAGUCUGCAACUCGACUUCAUGAAGUUGGAAUCGCUAGUAAUCGCGAAUCAGCAUGUCGCGGUGAAUACGUUCUCGGGGUUUGUACACACCGCCCGUCA
This 1248-nucleotide ribosomal RNA is filed under the name Candidatus Phytoplasma citri. RNAcentral describes it as "bacterial SSU rRNA". It matches the Rfam family "Bacterial small subunit ribosomal RNA", at positions 153 to 1399 of the family's 1533-position model. Lineage: Bacteria; Bacillati; Mycoplasmatota; Mollicutes; Acholeplasmatales; Acholeplasmataceae. RNAcentral also lists the same sequence under 3 other names. The record is from RNAcentral.